Molecule: ribosomal RNA, 520 nt
Filed under: humic substances enrichment clone D26
Lineage: Bacteria; Pseudomonadati; Pseudomonadota; Alphaproteobacteria
Description: bacterial SSU rRNA
Rfam family: Bacterial small subunit ribosomal RNA
Source: RNAcentral
UCNUGGGGGAAACCCUGAUCCAGCAAUGCCGCGUGAGUGAAGAAGGCCUUAGGGUUGUAAAACUCUUUCACUGAUGAAGAUGAUGACGGUAAUCAGAGAAGAAGCCCCGGCUAACUCCGUGCCAGCAGCCGCGGUAAUACGGAGGGGGCUAGCGUUGUUCGGAUUUACUGGGCGUAAAGCGCACGUAGGCGGCGUAGCAAGUCAGAGGUGAAAGGCCCGGGCUCAACCUGGGAACUGCCUUUGAUACUGUUAUGCUUGAGUUCGGAAGAGGGUAGUGGAAUUCCAAGUGUAGAGGUGAGAUUCGUAGAUAUUUGGAAGAACACCGGUGGCGAAGGCGGCUACCUGGUCCGAUACUGACGCUGAGGUGCGAAAGCGUGGGGAGCGAACAGGAUUAGAUACCCUGGUAGUCCACGCCGUAAACGAUGAGUGCUAGUUGUCGGGACGCUUGCGUUUCGGUGACGUAGUUAACGCGUUAAGCACUCCGCCUGGGGAGUACGGUCGCAAGAUUAAAACUCAAAGG